RNAcentral lists this ribosomal RNA (732 nucleotides) under uncultured bacterium. RNAcentral's name for it is "bacterial SSU rRNA". It matches the Rfam family "Bacterial small subunit ribosomal RNA", at positions 28 to 776 of the family's 1533-position model. The record is from RNAcentral.
GAUGAACGCUGACAGAAUGCUUAACACAUGCAAGUCUACUUGAAGCUAACUUCGGUUAGUGGAGGGUGGCGGACGGGUGAGUAACGCGUAAAGAACUUGCCUCACAGUUUGGGACAACAUUUGGAAACGAAUGCUAAUACUAAAUAUUAUGAUACUUCUGCAUGGAAGAAUCAUGAAAGCUAUAUGCGCUGUGAGAGAGCUUUGCGUCCCAUUAGCUAGUUGGAGAGGUAACGGCUCACCAAGGCGAUGAUGGGUAGCCGGCCUGAGAGGGUGAACGGCCACAAGGGGACUGAGACACGGCCCUUACUCCUACGGGAGGCAGCAGUGGGGAAUAUUGGACAAUGGACCAAAAGUCUGAUCCAGCAAUUCUGUGUGCACGAUGAAGUUUUUCGGAAUGUAAAGUGCUUUCAGUUGGGAAGAAGAAAGUGACGGUACCAACAGAAGAAGCGACGGCUAAAUACGUGCCAGCAGCCGCGGUAAUACGUAUGUCGCAAGCGUUAUCCGGAUUUAUUGGGCGUAAAGCGCGUCUAGGCGGCUAGAUAAGUCUGAUGUGAAAAUGCGGGGCUCAACUCCGUAUUGCGUUGGAAACUGUUUAGCUAGAGUACUGGAGAGGUAAGCGGAACUACAAGUGUAGAGGUGAAAUUCGUAGAUAUUUGUAGGAAUGCCGAUGGGGAAGCCAGCUUACUGGACAGAUACUGACGCUAAAGCGCGAAAGCGUGGGUAGCAAACAGG